GUGCAUGCCUGAAUCCUAGCACUCAGGAGGCUCAGAUGAAAGGAUCAAGAGUUGUGAGACAGUGAGAUUCUGCUUAAAAAAAAACAAAAAAAAAACCUCAAGAAACAACAACAAACUCCCCCCAAAGAGUUCUUAGUUAUAUAGAUAGUUGUGUAGAUUUCAUGUUCAACAAAGAAAGCAGGAUGUAAAAUUAUAGGUCCAAAUUUAUCUCAGCCAUGUUAAAA
Long non-coding RNA from Perognathus longimembris pacificus (Pacific pocket mouse), 224 nucleotides. RefSeq lists it as uncharacterized. The record is from RefSeq and is a predicted model, not a curated record. NCBI's taxonomy places the organism in Eukaryota, Metazoa, Chordata, Mammalia, Rodentia, Heteromyidae. The transcript has 2 exons.